RNAcentral lists this ribosomal RNA (524 nucleotides) under uncultured bacterium. RNAcentral describes it as "bacterial SSU rRNA". It matches the Rfam family "Bacterial small subunit ribosomal RNA", at positions 777 to 1301 of the family's 1533-position model. The record is from RNAcentral.
AAUAGAUACCCGGGUAGUCCACGCCGUAAACGAUGAGUGCUAAGUGUUAGAGGGUUUCCGCCCUUUAGUGCUGCAGCAAACGCAUUAAGCACUCCGCCUGGGGAGUACGGUCGCAAGACUGAAACUCAAAGGAAUUGACGGGGGCCCGCACAAGCGGUGGAGCAUGUGGUUUAAUUCGAAGCAACGCGAAGAACCUUACCAGGUCUUGACAUCCUCUGACAACCCUAGAGAUAGGGCUUCCCCUUCGGGGGCAGAGUGACAGGUGGUGCAUGGUUGUCGUCAGCUCGUGUCGUGAGAUGUUGGGUUAAGUCCCGCAACGAGCGCAACCCUUGAUCUUAGUUGCCAGCAUUCAGUUGGGCACUCUAAGGUGACUGCCGGUGACAAACCGGAGGAAGGUGGGGAUGACGUCAAAUCAUUAUGCCCCUUAUGACCUGGGCUACACACGUGCUACAAUGGGCAGAACAAAGGGCAGCGAAGCCGCGAGGCUAAGCCAAUCCCACAAAUCUGUUCUCAGUUCGGAUCGC